This is a long non-coding RNA of Equus caballus (horse), 1349 nucleotides long. The record is from Ensembl. Lineage: Eukaryota; Metazoa; Chordata; Mammalia; Perissodactyla; Equidae.
GGAGAAGAAGAGCAGAUGUUGGUCACGGUCCCUCGAGCCCGUCUCCCUGCUGGGAGUCCUGUGUUCCACGCAGGCAAAACCAGGCGAACUCUUGAUUCCAGCUCUGUUCGGUUCUACCCAUUUGAAAAGGCAGAAACGGAGGUUCAGGUGUAUACACUGUCUUGCCCAAGGUCAGGCAACUCGUUGAGGUGAUGGAAUUUUCCAACAGACUCCAAGUUCCACGGAGAGAGGCUGGGAAACCUGUGCUCCUCUGGGUGCCUAGAAAGAGCUCUCAGCACUGCCUGUGCAGCAGUAGGUGUGCAGUCUGAGCCCUGCUUCCUGCACUAGACGUUGACUGGCAUGUCUUUCAAAAGGCCGUGAGGCCCUGGAUUCAAGGGUGAUGAAUCAGAGACUGCACUUGUCUCUCAGUAGAGUCAAUGGAUCCAGACCGCAGCACUCAGGGCUACUACCGACAAAAGAAGUGGUAGGUCAGCUUUCAAAAUGAGAAGAAGCUCCAAGAAGAGCAGUGAGGGUGCGGAGUCCCCCAAGGUGUCUCUCUUCCCACCCACCACCCCUCAACACACACACACACACAAGUCCAUUCCAUCUCUCUGUACCCGAAGGCAUCUCGUGUAAGCAGUCUGGGAGCUUCUAACUUUGGAGGGAGAGCUGAUCCAGACUCUUGCAUCAAUUCUCCCACCCAUGUUCACAGAACAGGGAAGUGGGGCUAUUCAAGCACAGCAGAGCUGGGGCAGAUUUGUCAAAUCAUUCAGCUGCAGAGGUGAGACCUGAUGUCAUCAUCAAACACUCUUUGAUUGUUGUAUAGGGAAUGAGUUAGCUGAGUGGAAUAUGAAGCCAACUCUCUGGAUUCAAAUCCUACUAUUGCCACUCUUCUGAAUCUGCUUCCUUGUGCUUUAGUUUCUUCCUUUAUAAAAUGUGAUUACAAAUCCUGACCUCACGGGACUCUCUAAAGGAUUUAAUGAAAUAUUCCUUGUAAAGUGUUUAACAUGGUAAGAGCUUAAUAAAUGUCAACUGAUAUUAUUUCCUACUUAGUCUUAAGGGAAAGUCUAAUUUUCCUCCAUAACGCAAGGAUGGAUUGAUCUCUCAGCUGAGUGUGAUCUUGUCUUUCUAUGCUCCUAGUUCCUAGUCCUUUCUUUUAGUAAUUUGGACAGUAUUUUAGUUCUCAUAUAUAAGGUGGAUUAGAUGUACUCUUCCAGAGAGAGCUAAUCCUUAUGUAACUCAGAUAGCAACCUUGUACAAACCACUGUGUUUGGUACUGUGGAAAACACACAAUAAGCACUUAAUCAAUGUUUUAAUUGAACUAUUCUCUGGCUUCAGCAGAAAGGAGGCUCACCGAAGGUAAAUGCAGC